CCUACGGGAGGCAGCAGUGAGGAAUAUUGGUCAAUGGACGCAAGACUGAACCAGCCAUGCCGCGUGCGGGAGGACGGUUCUAUGUGUUGUAAACUGCUUUUGUACGAGGGUAAACACAGAUACGCGUCUCUGUCUGAGAGUAUCGUACGAAUAAGGAUCGGCUAACUCCGUGCCAGCAGCCGCGGUAAUACGGAGGGUGCGAGCGUUAAUCGGAAUUACUGGGCGUAAAGGGCGCGUAGGCGGUAUGUCAAGUCAAGGGUGAAAUCCCCGCGCUCAACGUGGGAACUGCCUUUGAAACUGGCAAACUGGAGGUUGUGAGAGGAUAGUGGAAUGCCAGGUGUAGGAGUGAAAUCCGUAGAUAUCGGGAGGAACAUCAGUGGCGAAGGCGACUAUCCGGCACAUAACUGACGCUGAGGAGCGAAAGCGUAGGUAGCAAACAGGAUUAGAUACCCCUGUAGUC
This 460-nucleotide ribosomal RNA is filed under the name uncultured bacterium. Its description in RNAcentral is "partial 16S ribosomal RNA". It matches the Rfam family "Bacterial small subunit ribosomal RNA", at positions 338 to 795 of the family's 1533-position model. The record is from RNAcentral.